Molecule: unclassified non-coding RNA, 383 nt
Filed under: rhizosphere metagenome
Description: partial ribosomal RNA internal transcribed spacer region
Source: RNAcentral
GUAGGUGAACCUGCGGAAGGAUCAUUAAGAACGUACGCGUUUGAAAAGAUGUACCGAAUCAUCCUGGAAGGCAAGCGUGGCUGGUAGAAGGGAAGUCUUCCCGAAAAGAGCAAGGUGGCGAGCCGAGCUGGUAGAAGACAACCCCUCCCGAAAUAGGCCACGUUUUGACUGUAGGGGCAGUACUGCUACCUAUAAUAAAACCAACCGUUUGUGAAGGGAGAAUACACCUAACCCUUGUGUACUUGCUUUGUUGCUUUGGGGGCCACUUGUUAAAGGUGUUGGCUCCGGCUGAUAGCGCCCCCAAAGACCCUAAACUCUUUUGUUAGUGAUGUCUGAGUACUAUAUAAUAGUUAAAACUUUCAACAACGGAUCUCUUGGUUCUG